RNAcentral lists this ribosomal RNA (275 nucleotides) under uncultured bacterium. RNAcentral's name for it is "partial 16S ribosomal RNA". It matches the Rfam family "Bacterial small subunit ribosomal RNA", at positions 524 to 796 of the family's 1533-position model. The record is from RNAcentral.
UACGGAGGAUCAAGCGUUAUCCGGAAUCAUUGGGUUUAAAGGGUCGUAGGCGGUUUAAUAAGUCAGUGGGUGAAAAGCCCAUCGCUCAACGGUGGAAACGGCCAUUGAUACUGUUAAACUUGAAUUAUUAGGAAGUAACUAGAAUAUGUAGUGUAGCGGUGAAAUGCUUAGAGAUUACAUGGAAUACCAAUUGCGAAGGCAGGUUACUACUAAUGGAUUGACGCUGAUGGACGAAAGCGUGGGUAGCGAACAGGAUUAGAUACCCGGGGUAGUCC